UGUCAUGCUUUUCCACAGCUUUCUUGAACUUCUGCUGAUCUCAUGAUCUGGUAUAGAAGAAGCUCAAGAAAGCUGUGGGAAAACAUGGUAA
Molecule: microRNA precursor, 91 nt
Filed under: Nelumbo nucifera (sacred lotus)
Lineage: Eukaryota; Viridiplantae; Streptophyta; Magnoliopsida; Proteales; Nelumbonaceae
Description: MIR396 microRNA precursor family
Rfam family: MIR396 microRNA precursor family
Source: Rfam by way of RNAcentral